GAUGAAGAACGCAGCGAAAUGCGAUAAGUAAUGCGAAUUGCAGAAUUCCAGUGAGUCAUCGAAUCUUUGAACGCACAUUGCGCCCUUUGGUAUUCCGAAGGGCAUGCCUGUUCGAGCGUCAUUAUCACCCCUCAAGCCCUCGGCUUGGUGUUGGACGGUUUGGUGGAGGCCCCCUCGGGGGCUCCUGCCCCUCCCAAAGACAAUGACGGCGGCCUCGUUGGACCCCCGGUACACUGAGUUCUUCACGGGACACGUAUCGGACACAUGGGUUUACGGGACACGGUCUGCCUCCCCUCAGGGAGAAUCUUUCUAAGGUUGACCUCGGAUCAGGUAGGGAUACCCGCUGAACUUAAGCAUAUCAAUAAGCGGGA
Molecule: unclassified non-coding RNA, 371 nt
Filed under: soil metagenome
Description: partial contains 5.8S ribosomal RNA, internal transcribed spacer 2, and large subunit ribosomal RNA
Rfam family: 5.8S ribosomal RNA (bases 1-121)
Source: RNAcentral